Molecule: long non-coding RNA, 370 nt
Filed under: Homo sapiens (human)
Lineage: Eukaryota; Metazoa; Chordata; Mammalia; Primates; Hominidae
Description: non-protein coding lnc-RFXAP-3:2
Source: RNAcentral
CCCACCCCCUCGACACUGCUGCAGUGGGGAUGAAGUUUCCAGCACGUACCUUUGGAGGACUUAUUCAACCAUGACCCUUGCUUCUCAUUCAUGGAGGAAGAGGAGUGAAGAAUCCAAGUGGCAGACUUGGGAGCUCUAGCCCAUCCUUUUCCCGUCCUCUUAUUUUUGGGGGUCGGCCUGCCUGCUUAGCACUGUGAGCCUCUCUUAGCCUUGGUGUAGGCUUAGUGAAAAAGCUCUGCUUCUGAAAUCACAUCACUAUGGGCACCACUGAGGGUGGUAUUUGAGUCACCAACACAACACUCCUGUAUCCAUCUGCAUUUGUCGAUGAGGCAUUCAUGGUGACUCCAACGAACUCAUCUAGAGUAAGCGA